Pantherophis guttatus is the source of this 3030-nucleotide non-coding RNA. The record is from RefSeq and is a predicted model, not a curated record. Lineage: Eukaryota; Metazoa; Chordata; Lepidosauria; Squamata; Colubridae.
AAACGCCGUAGCUUCUGCUCCUGUUUCGGAGCGGUAGCCACUCGGGAUGGACGUAGAAAACGGGAAGCCCCGGACUUCACCUCGGCGACGGGAAAGUUAGAAGCGGAGAGAGCAAAUAAACUUAACUCCGGACAGCGUGUAGCAACUUCUGUGUUACUCACAAGAAAGUACCCGGGGAAUGAGCUGGAUGAACAUGGAACUGCUGGGUGGUGGAUCUCUAAUUCAGAGACUGAGAAAAGGAGGAGGAAGUUCCUGCCUUUUCUUACAUGUUCACCUGUACCUGACCUAAGGCAAGAGAAAGAGAUAUUAAGAUUAGAAUCAACCACACUUCUCAGUACUACUUGGACUAGAUAUGAAUGCAGUGGAGGCAAAUCUGCUCCUGAGAGUUAAACAAGAUCUGAUUCUUUGAUUAGCAGCAAAGAUCUGGCUGUGAAUGCUGAACCCUGUCUAAACUGCCACUCUGUUCAUAUGAAGAAGCAGCUAAGCUACUUUCUUGUGGCUAAGUAAUAUUUGAGAUGGAGAGGUUGUGACUGAUGGCAUAUUAUUGGUGCAAAAGGGAGAAAUGUAUCGAUUCCAGUCAUCAAAAGAAUGUUAUGGAUGUGUGGCUAUGGAGAUAAAUAAUGGAAAAUGGAGAUACAAGGGAAAUGGAACUAUGGCAAAUAUUUCAUUCAUUUUUUUUAAAAAAAACUGAUCUGAUUGAAAAGUUUUGUUGAAGACAUGAGCAUCCAUGUGAGGAAUGCUAAAAAGUGCCUCCUGAUGUUGCAAGGUAAAAUCUGACCUUUUAAAUGUGCAUCACAAUAUGUAUGUGAAGUAUGUAAGUAUGUGAAAUAUGUGAACUGUGUAUAAUGCAGAGUUUGCAUUCUAACACAAUGCAUCUUAACUCAUUUUGAUGAAAUCUUAGUUUGCUUCAGACACUGCUAGUUGAACGCAGUAUGUUCUGAUGAAGAAUGAUUUUCUAAGGACCAACCUGAUUUUUAGGGAAAGAGGAGCAUUUGCUCUAUGACAAUCAAACUUAAAGUCAUCUCUUAGAUUAAUUAAAUAAAAUUAAGCUUUAGCAUAUUCAGUGGCAAUUACGUGAAGUGAUGGCCUUGGUUCAGAGGACAGAAGCGGAAUACAUUCUCAUUACUGACUGUCUAGGAAGCUUCCAGUAAAUUCAUUGAAUAUUUUUAAUACACAUAAAAGUUAAAAAUUUGCACUAGAUAUUGAAAUGCAGAAAUUGCUCUCAAGUAUUUCCAUUUUAAAAUUGGUUUCUGAAACAUCUGUCAACAAGGUUGCAACUUCUUAACUAUUGAGCCCUAGCAAACUAUGGUUUAUGAAUUAGCAUACUAUGUAAAUCUAGCCAACUGUAAUUUAUUCCAGUGGUGGGUUGCUACUGGUUCUCCCCGGAUCAGGCGAACCGGUAGCAGCGGUGGCUGGAGGUUCUGCCCACCCACCCAGAAGCGUCGCGCAUGCAAGCAAACCGGUAGUGACGGGUUUUGAAACCUGCCCCUGAUUUAUUCCAUAACUAUGAUUAAAAUAAUCAUUGUGUUGUGCACAUAAGGGCAAUCUAAGAACCUUAAUGAGCGCAGUAGGAGAUAAUAGCAUUACAGCCUCAAUUUUUACAUUUACACAGUAAUAUAUACUAGUCAUUUCUAUAACAAUAAAUCUAUUAGCAAAACCCAAAGUCAAAGUUUCAACUUUCCAUCUCAAUGGAAAAUAAAAUUGCACAUGAAUAAGAUUGCAUAAGUAAAUACUUCCUCAUUAAAAAAGUCUUUUUUAUUUAUUGGUUGGUUGGCUUUGGUAGUAAAUAUAGUUUACUUGUUUUUCAAAAUUCAUUUACCAAAGGCUGAGAAAAUAUUGUGGUUGUGAGUAAAGAAAAGAAAGCAGCACAGAAGGAAAUGUUUUCUUUCAUUUAUUCUUUUUAAUUUUGCCAUUUGGUUUUAAAGAUCUUCCUUUAGAUAAUUUGUCUUACGUAAGUUUUAUUAAAGAGUGGUUUAUAUACUUUAGAUUGCAACCAUAAUAAAAGCCUAAAAUUAUUUCUGCUGUAGACCAUUUUUGCCUGCCUCCGAGUAAGUCUCAACUCCUGAUGACAGCCUGGGAGUCUUGGUCAGAAUAUUUACAACUGCUGGCAGUGCCUUGUUAAUCUUGAUAAAAAUGAAAAAGCUAAGCAUCACUGCUCCGGGUUAGUUCUUGGAUUGGAGACAACCAUGAAAUAUCAGUCCUAUAGACUAAAUUGGAUAAUUGAAAUAAAAAAAAAUGCAGGUAGUCCUUGACUUACAACAGUUCAUUUAGUGACCAUUCAAAGUUACAACGACACUGAAAAAAUGACUUACGACAGUUUUUCAUACAACCUUUGUAGCAUCCCUAUUAUCAUGUGAUCAAAAUUCAAAUGCUUGGCGACUGACUCAUACUUAUGACCGUAUCCCAACGUUAUGUGAUCACCUUUGCCUCCUUUUGACAAGAAGCCAGAUUCACUUAACAACCGUGUUACGGACUUACCAACUGUGGUGAUUCACUUAACAACUGUGGCAAGAAAAGUUGUAAAAUGUGGAAAAACACACUUAAAUGUAUCACUUAACAACAUAAAUUUUGGGCUCAGUUGUGGUCAUAAGUCGAGGUCUACCUGUAAUGGCAUCCUGGAAGGCAAGUGACAAACAUUUUUUUAUUAUUGCUUAAGGAAAUUGCAUGGUGCCCAAGUAUAAUAUUUGUGUAGUCACUAGGAAAAGAACGUAAUUCAUUUGUUACCUUUUCCUUUACUGUAUUUAUGUUUUAGUUUUAAUGCUGUGCAGUCUCUUGCACAGCUUCUUUAGUUCUGACUAAAAGUUUUCCUUGUUUCACGGAUGUUAAUGUUUGUUUUAGUUGUUUGCAAGAUUCUUUGGGAACUAAUUUUAUUGCAAACUGGAGAAAGAAACACAAUUCAUUAGUGAACAGAUCAGAUGAUUAAUUAAACAAGUAAACAAAUUUGCCUUUUAUGUGCCAAAAUGGAAUUUUAUAACAUUGCCUCAAACAGAAGACAAUGUGUGUAUCUUUAUAUUUGGACAGCAGAGACAU